UCGCGAUCUUCUGGUUCGUCUACGCCGUCGCCGUCGUCUUCUCCAUCGCCUUCUCCGUUUCAAAGCUUCUUCUUCGUCGUCUUCUCCGUUCUCUCCAUCGUCUUCUCCGUUUUCUCCGUCGUCUUCUUCGUUCUUUAUCUGCAUUGUUCGACGAUUCUGUCUGUUCAUUGUAGUACUAGAGUAAGCUUCUUCUAAUUUUGAUAUUCAUUUUGAUUUUGUCUGAACUGAAUGUUGUUUUGAUUUGAGAAUUAGGUUUCAUCAUUCAUCACCAUUGAUUUUGAUUCUGGUUUUGAGAAUUAGGUUAAACUAAAUUGAAUUUUGAUUUCAUCAUUCAUCACCAUUGAUUUCACAUUGACAUAAGAAGAUUAUGUUGAAUUGAAUAAUUUAGGAAUUGAAUAAUUGCAAAAUGAAACCCUAAAUUGAUUUUGAAUCACAAUUGUUCUUCUGUACUGAAAUCUGCAGGUUCUAAGAAUUUCUUCUGCUAAGGGUAAAUUUAUGAUGUUUAGCAAAAUCAUCUUUUAUCUGUGGUUAUGUAAGCUCAUAUCUUGUGUUACUAUGUGUUAUGUAUUUCUGGAAGGUUAUAACUCCUAACUUAAACUCCUUUACGCUCCAUAUUAGUGCUGCAUAAUACAAUAAUUGAAGUUAUUAACUUUAUGAUAUCCUACAGGAUGAUUCAUACAUUGAUAGCUACAUAAGCACCAUUGGAGUUGAUUUUGUGAGUACAACAUUUCAAUUUUACUUUAGCUUGAAAUCAUUUGAGAUUGUGUUUGUGUAUCUAGUG
RNAcentral lists this long non-coding RNA (781 nucleotides) under Trifolium pratense (red clover). RNAcentral describes it as "long non-coding RNA (TPRA_LNC005069)". Lineage: Eukaryota; Viridiplantae; Streptophyta; Magnoliopsida; Fabales; Fabaceae. The record is from RNAcentral.